GUUUCCUAAGGUAUUCAUUAUUGUCUCUUGUUCCACAGGAGUCUUUUCAAUGAACUAGAGAAAGGAAAGCACAUCUUCCCAUUUAGAAGUCCACGUUCCCACGGGCGGAAUAUUUUACAGGCAAGGACUGGCUAUUUAAAAUCAUG
This 146-nucleotide long non-coding RNA is filed under the name Bos indicus x Bos taurus (hybrid cattle). RNAcentral's name for it is "lncRNA (ENSBIXG00000028225.1)". Lineage: Eukaryota; Metazoa; Chordata; Mammalia; Artiodactyla; Bovidae. The record is from RNAcentral.